Molecule: ribosomal RNA, 199 nt
Filed under: Candidatus Omnitrophota bacterium
Lineage: Bacteria; Pseudomonadati; Candidatus Omnitrophota
Description: partial 16S ribosomal RNA
Rfam family: Bacterial small subunit ribosomal RNA
Source: RNAcentral
CCUUUGGAGGGUUUGAUCCUGGCUCAGAGUGAACGCUGGCGGCGUGGAUUAGGCAUGCAAGUCGAGCGAUCUUUUAUUUGUGAGAAAGCCGACCUUCGGGAAAGCUGACGAGUAAUUUGAAGAUAGCGGCAAACGGGUGAGUAACGCGUGGGUAACCUACCUUAAGGAGGAAGAUAGCUUCGCGAAAGCGGAGGUAAUA